CUUUUAAUCCGAACCCUAUGGGUACCCAAGGGCACCAUUCCUCUAUAGUACACUACUGUUGAUCAGAACUCUAUGGGUACCCAAGGGCACCAUUCCCUCUACAGUACACUACUGUUGACCAGAACUCUAUGGGUAACCAAGGGCACUAUUCCCUCUAUAGUGCACUACUGUUGACCAGAACUCCAUGGGUAACCAAGGGCACCAUUCCCUCUAUAGUGCACUACUUUUAGUCCAGAACUCUAUGGGUACACAAGGGCACCAUUCCCUCUAUAGUGCACUACUGUUGACCAGGGAACGUAUGCUAAAGUAGUGCACUAGCCUAGUGGUUCGAGUGUUGGGACAGUAUGCUAAAGUAGUGCACUAGCCUAGUGGUUAGAGUGUUGGGCCAGUAUGCUAAAGUAUUGCACUAGCCUAGUGGUUAGAGUGUGUGGGCCAGUAUGCUAAAGCAGUGCACUAGCCUAGUGGUUAGAGUGUUGGGCCAGUAUGCUAAAGUAGUGCACUAGCCUAGUGGUUAGAGUGUUGGGCCAGUAUGCUAAAGUAGUGCACUAGCCUAGUGGUUAGAGUGUUGGGCCAGUAUGCUAAAGUAGUGCACUAGCCUAGUGGUUAGAGUGUUGGGCCAGUAUGCUAAAGCAGUGCACUAGCCUAGUGGUUAGAGUGUUGGGCCAGUAUGCUAAAGCAUUGCACUAGCCUAGUGGUUAGAGUGUGUCUGCCAGUAUGCUAAAGCAGUGCACUAGCCUAGUGGUUAGAGUGUUGGGCCAGUAUGCUAAAGCAGUGCACUAGCCUAGUGGUUAGAGUGUGUGGCCAGUAUGCUAAAGCAGUGCACUAGCCUAGUGGUUAGAGUGUUGGGCCAGUAUGCUAAAGUAGUGCACUAGCCUAGUGGUUAGAGUGUUGGGCCAGUAUGCUAAAGUAGUGCACUAGCCUAGUGGUUAGAGUGUUGGGCCAGUAUGCUAAAGUAGUGCACUAGCCUAGUGGUUAGAGUGUUGGGCCAGUAUGCUAAAGCAGUGCACUAGCCUAGUGGUUAGAGUGUUGGGCCAGUAUGCUAAAGUAGUGCACUAGCCUAGUGGUUAGAGUGUUGG
Molecule: long non-coding RNA, 1076 nt
Organism: Oncorhynchus tshawytscha (Chinook salmon)
Lineage: Eukaryota; Metazoa; Chordata; Actinopteri; Salmoniformes; Salmonidae
Source: Ensembl